This 468-nucleotide ribosomal RNA is filed under the name uncultured bacterium. RNAcentral describes it as "partial 16S ribosomal RNA". It matches the Rfam family "Bacterial small subunit ribosomal RNA", at positions 36 to 507 of the family's 1533-position model. The record is from RNAcentral.
UCCUCCCUCUUUCUUCGUGCUUAACACAUGCAAGUCGAACGGUAAGGCCCUGCUUUUGUGGGGUGCUCGAUUGGCGAACGGGUUAGUAACACGUUAGUAACCUGCUCUGUACUUUGGGAUAACUUCAGGAAACUGGGGCUGAUACCGGAUAGGAGCUCCUGUUGCAUGUUGGGGGGUGGAAAGUUUCGGCGGUUGGGGAUGGACUCGCGGCUUAUCAGCUUGUUGGUGGGGUAGUGGCUUACCAAGGCUUUGACGGGUAGCCGGCCUGAGAGGGUGACCGGCCACAUUGGGACUGAGAUACGGCCCAGACUCCUACGGGAGGCAGCAGUGGGGAAUAUUGCACAAUGGGCGGAAGCCUGAUGCAGCAACGCCGCGUGCGGGAUGACGGCCUUCGGGUUGUAAACCGCUUCCGCCUGUGACGAAGCGUGACUGACGGUAAUGGGUAAAGAAGCACCGGCUAACUACGUG